This 81-nucleotide transfer RNA is filed under the name Bacteroidota bacterium. RNAcentral describes it as "tRNA-Leu". It matches the Rfam family "tRNA". Rfam says of the family: Transfer RNA (tRNA) molecules are approximately 80 nucleotides in length. Their secondary structure includes four short double-helical elements and three loops (D, anti-codon, and T loops). Lineage: Bacteria; Pseudomonadati; Bacteroidota. The record is from RNAcentral.
GCGGGUGUGGCGAAAUGGCAGACGCAAUAGACUUAGGAUCUAUCGCCGCGAGGCAUGGGGGUUCGAGUCCCUCCACCCGCA